CUAUGGGUUGUAAACUGCUUUUAUAAGGGAAUAAAGUGAGUCUCGUGAGACUUUUUGCAUGUACCUUAUGAAUAAGGACCGGCUAAUUCCGUGCCAGCAGCCGCGGUAAUACGGAAGGUCCGGGCGUUAUCCGGAUUUAUUGGGUUUAAAGGGAGCGUAGGCCGGAGAUUAAGCGUGUUGUGAAAUGUAGAUGCUCAACAUCUGCACUGCAGCGCGAACUGGUUUCCUUGAGUACGCACAAAGUGGGCGGAAUUCGUGGUGUAGCGGUGAAAUGCUUAGAUAUCACGAAGAACUCCGAUUGCGAAGGCAGCUCACUGGAGCGCAACUGACGCUGAAGCUCGAAAGUGCGGGUAUCGAACAGGAUUAGAUACCCUGGUAGUCCGCACGGUAAACGAUGGAUGCCCGCUGUUGGUCUGAAUAGGUCAGCGGCCAAGCGAAAGCAUUAAGCAUCCCACCUGGGGAGUACGCCGGCAACGGUGCAACUCAAAUGAAUUGACGGA
This 500-nucleotide ribosomal RNA is filed under the name uncultured organism. RNAcentral's name for it is "bacterial SSU rRNA". It matches the Rfam family "Bacterial small subunit ribosomal RNA", at positions 416 to 917 of the family's 1533-position model. The record is from RNAcentral.